GAAUCAGUAGCUCAGUUGGUAGAGCACAUCCCUUUUAAGGAUGGGGUCCUCGGUUCGAAACCGAGCUGAUUCA
This 73-nucleotide transfer RNA is filed under the name Bacteroides sp. RNAcentral's name for it is "tRNA-Lys". It matches the Rfam family "tRNA". Rfam says of the family: Transfer RNA (tRNA) molecules are approximately 80 nucleotides in length. Their secondary structure includes four short double-helical elements and three loops (D, anti-codon, and T loops). Lineage: Bacteria; Pseudomonadati; Bacteroidota; Bacteroidia; Bacteroidales; Bacteroidaceae. The record is from RNAcentral. RNAcentral also lists the same sequence under 1 other name.